UACGGAGGGUGCAAGCGUUAUCCGGAAUCAUUGGGUUUAAAGGGUCCGCAGGCGGAUGUAUAAGUCAGUGGUGAAAUCCUAUCGCUUAACGAUAGAACUGCCAUUGAUACUGUACGUCUUGAAUUCGGUCGAAGUGGGCGGAAUGUGUAGUGUAGCGGUGAAAUGCAUAGAUAUUACACAGAACACCGAUAGCGAAGGCAGCUCACUAGGCCUGGAUUGACGCUCAGGGACGAAAGCGUGGGGAUCAAACAGG
Molecule: ribosomal RNA, 253 nt
Filed under: uncultured bacterium
Lineage: Bacteria
Description: partial 16S ribosomal RNA
Rfam family: Bacterial small subunit ribosomal RNA
Source: RNAcentral